GUGGGGCUCAGUGGUAGAGCGCUUGCUUAGUGUGUGUGAGGCACUGGGUUCAAUACCUGGUACCACA
RNAcentral lists this transfer RNA (67 nucleotides) under Marmota monax (woodchuck). RNAcentral's name for it is "tRNA.Thr". Lineage: Eukaryota; Metazoa; Chordata; Mammalia; Rodentia; Sciuridae. The record is from RNAcentral.